GGGGCCGUAGGGUAGCUUGGACCAUCCUCUCAGCCCGGGGCGCUGGUGACCCGAGUUCAAAUCUCGGCGGCCCCACCA
This 78-nucleotide transfer RNA is filed under the name Methanomicrobia archaeon. Its description in RNAcentral is "tRNA-Pro". It matches the Rfam family "tRNA". Rfam says of the family: Transfer RNA (tRNA) molecules are approximately 80 nucleotides in length. Their secondary structure includes four short double-helical elements and three loops (D, anti-codon, and T loops). Further hydrogen bonds mediate the characteristic L-shaped molecular structure. tRNAs have two regions of fundamental functional importance: the anti-codon, which is responsible for specific mRNA codon recognition, and the 3' end, to which the tRNAs corresponding amino acid is attached (by aminoacyl-tRNA synthetases). tRNAs cope with the degeneracy of the genetic code in two manners: having more than one tRNA (with a specific anti-codon) for a particular amino acid; and 'wobble' base-pairing, i.e. permitting non-standard base-pairing at the 3rd anti-codon position. The record is from RNAcentral. RNAcentral also lists the same sequence under 1 other name. Lineage: Archaea; Methanobacteriati; Methanobacteriota; Methanomicrobia.